GAAGCCGAUGAAGGACGUUACUAACGACGAUAUGCUUUGGGGAGCUGUAAGUAAGCUUUGAUCCAGAGAUUUCCGAAUGGGGAAACCCAGCAUGAGUUAUGUCAUGUUAUCGAUAUGUGAAUACAUAGCAUAUCAGAAGGCACACCCGGAGAACUGAAACAUCUUAGUACCCGGAGGAAGAGAAAGAAAAUUCGAUUCCCUUAGUAGCGGCGAGCGAAACGGGAAGAGCCCAAACCAACAAGCUUGCUUGUUGGGGUUGUAGGACACUCUAUACGGAGUUACAAAGGACGACAUUAGACGAAUCAUCUGGAAAGAUGAAUCAAAGAAGGUAAUAAUCCUGUAGUCGAAAAUGUUGUCUCUCUUGAGUGGAUCCUGAGUACGACGGAGCACGUGAAAUUCCGUCGGAAUCUGGGAGGACCAUCUCCUAAGGCUAAAUACUCUCUAGUGACCGAUAGUGAACCAGUACCGUGAGGGAAAGGUGAAAAGCACCCCGGAAGGGGAGUGAAAUAGAACCUGAAACCGUGUGCUUACAAGUAGUCAGAGCCCGUUAAUGGGUGAUGGCGUGCCUUUUGUAGAAUGAACCGGCGAGUUACGAUUUGAUGCAAGGUUAAGCAGUAAAUGUGGAGCCGUAGCGAAAGCGAGUCUGAAUAGGGCGUUUAGUAUUUGGUCGUAGACCCGAAACCAGGUGAUCUACCCUUGGUCAGGUUGAAGUUCAGGUAACACUGAAUGGAGGACCGAACCGACUUACGUUGAAAAGUGAGCGGAUGAACUGAGGGUAGCGGAGAAAUUCCAAUCGAACCUGGAGAUAGCUGGUUCUCUCCGAAAUAGCUUUAGGGCUAGCCUCAAGUGAUGAUUAUUGGAGGUAGAGCACUGUUUGGACGAGGGGCCCCUCUCGGGUUACCGAAUUCAGACAAACUCCGAAUGCCAAUUAAUUUAACUUGGGAGUCAGAACAUGGGUGAUAAGGUCCGUGUUCGAAAGGGAAACAGCCCAGACCACCAGCUAAGGUCCCAAAAUAUAUGUUAAGUGGAAAAGGAUGUGGCGUUGCCCAGACAACUAGGAUGUUGGCUUAGAAGCAGCCAUCAUUUAAAGAGUGCGUAAUAGCUCACUAGUCGAGUGACACUGCGCCGAAAAUGUACCGGGGCUAAACAUAUUACCGAAGCUGUGGAUUGUCCUUUGGACAAUGGUAGGAGAGCGUUCUAAGGGCGUUGAAGCAUGAUCGUAAGGACAUGUGGAGCGCUUAGAAGUGAGAAUGCCGGUGUGAGUAGCGAAAGACGGGUGAGAAUCCCGUCCACCGAUUGACUAAGGUUUCCAGAGGAAGGCUCGUCCGCUCUGGGUUAGUCGGGUCCUAAGCUGAGGCCGACAGGCGUAGGCGAUGGAUAACAGGUUGAUAUUCCUGUACCACCUAUAAUCGUUUUAAUCGAUGGGGGGACGCAGUAGGAUAGGCGAAGCGUGCGAUUGGAUUGCACGUCUAAGCAGUAAGGCUGAGUAUUAGGCAAAUCCGGUACUCAUUAAGGCUGAGCUGUGAUGGGGAGAAGACAUUGUGUCUUCGAGUCGUUGAUUUCACACUGCCGAGAAAAGCCUCUAGAUAGAAAAUAGGUGCCCGUACCGCAAACCGACACAGGUAGUCAAGAUGAGAAUUCUAAGGUGAGCGAGCGAACUCUCGUUAAGGAACUCGGCAAAAUGACCCCGUAACUUCGGGAGAAGGGGUGCUCUUUAGGGUUAACGCCCAGAAGAGCCGCAGUGAAUAGGCCCAAGCGACUGUUUAUCAAAAACACAGGUCUCUGCUAAACCGUAAGGUGAUGUAUAGGGGCUGACGCCUGCCCGGUGCUGGAAGGUUAAGAAGAGUGGUUAGCUUCUGCGAAGCUACGAAUCGAAGCCCCAGUAAACGGCGGCCGUAACUAUAACGGUCCUAAGGUAGCGAAAUUCCUUGUCGGGUAAGUUCCGACCCGCACGAAAGGCGUAACGAUUUGGGCACUGUCUCAACGAGAGACUCGGUGAAAUCAUAGUACCUGUGAAGAUGCAGGUUACCCGCGACAGGACGGAAAGACCCCGUGGAGCUUUACUGUAGCCUGAUAUUGAAAUUCGGCACAGCUUGUACAGGAUAGGUAGGAGCCUUUGAAACGUGAGCGCUAGCUUACGUGGAGGCGCUGGUGGGAUACUACCCUAGCUGUGUUGGCUUUCUAACCCGCACCACUUAUCGUGGUGGGAGACAGUGUCAGGCGGGCAGUUUGACUGGGGCGGUCGCCUCCUAAAAGGUAACGGAGGCGCUCAAAGGUUCCCUCAGAAUGGUUGGAAAUCAUUCAUAGAGUGUAAAGGCAUAAGGGAGCUUGACUGCGAGACCUACAAGUCGAGCAGGGUCGAAAGACGGACUUAGUGAUCCGGUGGUUCCGCAUGGAAGGGCCAUCGCUCAACGGAUAAAAGCUACCCCGGGGAUAACAGGCUUAUCUCCCCCAAGAGUUCACAUCGACGGGGAGGUUUGGCACCUCGAUGUCGGCUCAUCGCAUCCUGGGGCUGUAGUCGGUCCCAAGGGUUGGGCUGUUCGCCCAUUAAAGCGGUACGCGAGCUGGGUUCAGAACGUCGUGAGACAGUUCGGUCCCUAUCCGUCGUGGGCGUAGGAAAUUUGAGAGGAGCUGUCCUUAGUACGAGAGGACCGGGAUGGACAUACCUCUGGUGUACCAGUUGUCGUGCCAACGGCAUAGCUGGGUAGCUAUGUGUGGACGGGAUAAGUG
RNAcentral lists this ribosomal RNA (2730 nucleotides) under Staphylococcus aureus. RNAcentral's name for it is "partial 23S ribosomal RNA". It matches the Rfam family "Bacterial large subunit ribosomal RNA". The record is from RNAcentral. Lineage: Bacteria; Bacillati; Bacillota; Bacilli; Caryophanales; Staphylococcaceae.